AGGGGAUUAUUGGACAAUGGGCGCAAGCCUGAUCCAGCCAUGCCGCGUGAGUGAUGAAGGCCCUAGGGGUGUAAAGCUCUUUCACCGGUGAAGAUAAUGACGGUAACCGGAGAAGAAGUCCCGGCUAACUUCGUGCCAGCAGCCGCGGUAAUACGAAGGGGGCUAGCGUUGUUCGGAUUUACUGGGCGUAAAGCGCACGUAGGCGGACUUUUAAGUCAGGGGUGAAAUCCCGGGGCUCAACCCCGGAACUGCCUUUGAUACUGGAAGUCUUGAGUAUGGUAGAGGUGAGUGGAAUUCCGAGUGUAGAGGUGAAAUUCGUAGAUAUUCGGAGGAACACCAGUUGCUAGGGCGGCUCACUGGACCAUUACUGACGCUGAGGUGCGAUAGCGUAGGGAGCAAACAGG
Molecule: ribosomal RNA, 404 nt
Filed under: Verrucomicrobiota bacterium
Lineage: Bacteria; Pseudomonadati; Verrucomicrobiota
Description: Verrucomicrobia bacterium partial 16S ribosomal RNA
Rfam family: Bacterial small subunit ribosomal RNA
Source: RNAcentral